GGAGAAUGUUAUCACGGGAGACACACGGCGGGUGCUAACGUCCGUCGUGAAGAGGGAAACAACCCAGACCGCCAGCUAAGGUCCCAAAGUCAUGGUUAAGUGGGAAACGAUGUGGGAAGGCCCAGACAGCCAGGAUGUUGGCUUAGAAGCAGCCAUCAUUUAAAGAAAGCGUAAUAGCUCACUGGUCGAGUCGGCCUGCGCGGAAGAUGUAACGGGGCUAAACCAUGCACCGAAGCUGCGGCAGCGACGCUGAUGCGUUGUUGGGUAGGGGAGCGUUCUGUAAGCCUGCGAAGGUGUGCUGUGAGGCAUGCUGGAGGUAUCAGAAGUGCGAAUGCUGACAUAAGUAACGAUAAAGCGGGUGAAAAGCCCGCUCGCCGGAAGACCAAGGGUUCCUGUCCAACGUUAAUCGGGGCAGGGUGAGUCGACCCCUAAGGCGAGGCCGAAAGGCGUAGUCGAUGGGAAACAGGUUAAUAUUCCUGUACUUGGUGUUACUGCGAAGGGGGGACGGAGAAGGCUAUGUUGGCCGGGCGACGGUUGUCCCGGUUUAAGCGUGUAGGCUGGU
This 562-nucleotide ribosomal RNA is filed under the name Escherichia coli. Its description in RNAcentral is "partial 23S ribosomal RNA". It matches the Rfam family "Bacterial large subunit ribosomal RNA", at positions 964 to 1529 of the family's 2925-position model. The record is from RNAcentral. Lineage: Bacteria; Pseudomonadati; Pseudomonadota; Gammaproteobacteria; Enterobacterales; Enterobacteriaceae.